GCAAUACUUGGUGGAUCAGAAGGGUAAAAUUGGAGGCAAGAGGAUCAGCUGGCAAGGAGAAUGUUAGAAUAUAUAUUGAGGAGGUAGAAAUAAAAGAAGUAAGGUUUAUUUUUAGUGUAUUUUAAAAAUAUUCCUUCCUAAUGAGGACAAUCAUGAAGUAAGAGUUUAUUGUUCACUGCAGUUACUUAGACUUACUACUUAGCCUAUAAACGCUUCACCAUGUUCUUUGUCUGACAGACAUCUACUAACUAGCCUGGGAAACGGUGCAGUGGAAAGGGCAAAUGCAUUGGAAGGAGACAGUUUUGAGUUCAGAUUACAGCUCUGCUACUUUUUAAAUAGGAGAGCUGAUGUUCGAAGAGAUAAAGGGACAUGUCCCCUGAGAGCACUAAGAGGGCUGAACGCCACCCUUAA
This 411-nucleotide long non-coding RNA is filed under the name Callithrix jacchus (white-tufted-ear marmoset). RNAcentral describes it as "lncRNA (ENSCJAG00000075758.1)". The record is from RNAcentral. Lineage: Eukaryota; Metazoa; Chordata; Mammalia; Primates; Cebidae.